RNAcentral lists this long non-coding RNA (374 nucleotides) under Nicotiana benthamiana. Its description in RNAcentral is "long non-coding RNA (NBEN_LNC012158)". Lineage: Eukaryota; Viridiplantae; Streptophyta; Magnoliopsida; Solanales; Solanaceae. The record is from RNAcentral.
GCUGAAGAAAGCAAUUCAGGAGCUUAUUAAUGUAGGUAAAAUCAUCGUACAAAAUUCAGAUGCACCGGACAGCAGCCAAAAUCCAUCGCUUGUGCACAAUGAUGUAGACAUGAUGGGUAUGAUUUGUUGUGAAAAGGAACGUGACAAUUAUUUGAGAACCUUGAAGACCCAAAAAUAACUUGUUGAGGAUGAUCUGAUGAAAGUUUGUAAAGUUCCUAAUGAUGUUAAUGUAGAACUCAGUUACUAAGAUGUUGAGCUUGGUAAUGGGAAAGACGCUUCAUCUCUUGGCCGGCUGGAGAGAAGUUUUGGUGGUCUAUUUUGUUGUCAUUUCUGUUGUCCGGGUUAUUUUCAGGGUUGUAACCCCGAUAUUGUUU